CCUGGUGGCUCAGAGGUUAAAGCAUCUGCCUGGAAUGCAGGAGAUCAGGGUUCAAUCCCUGAGUCGGGA
Bos taurus (domestic cattle) is the source of this 69-nucleotide non-coding RNA. The record is from Rfam. Lineage: Eukaryota; Metazoa; Chordata; Mammalia; Artiodactyla; Bovidae.